CCGCGCCACGGCCGCAGGCUGCCCAAUGGUUACUACGCGGGGCACGGCGCGCCACGGCCGCGCACAGCCCGCAGGGGCGCGCACGACGCGUACAGCGAGAGCGAGGACGACUGGUGCUAAGCCGCCCCGCCCCCCGCAGCGCCCGUACGGUGCGGGCGCACCGCAAAUGAUAAACAAUAACGUUUUUAAAAAAGAAAACCGGGGAGAAAAACAAAAAUAGCUUCUAUUGAUGAGUUUUAUCAUCUCGAUUGAAUCUUUCGUUUUCCCGGUGAACGAAACCGAGGUGGCUGCGAGCCGGAGGGACGGCUGCACGCCCCACACACUUCUCAGACCCACGGGAGUUCUUGCGGGCCACGCCAAACUUAUUACUGCCUGCAGAGUUCAACUACAAGAAAAUAACACUAACAGUUUUUAAAAGGACAAAAAAAAAAUGAUUGAGAAAACGGUUUUUUUUUCCCCUGACAUUUGGUCCUGCUUGAAAUAACAAAAGAAAAAAGAGAAAAAAUUACCACCACCACCGACCGAUUCCCUUGCUUCUUUUUUUUUUUUUUCCUUUAUCUUUUUAAAAUUUUUUUCCUUUUUUUCCUAUCUUGUUUGAAAAACGUGGGCUUGGGACUGUGAAAUAUUGCAUGACAUUAAAAAGAACAAAAAAUAAUAAAAAUGAAAAAACUUGAAUCUAAGGGCUUCUGAACUAGAGUGGUCUUUGUCCCUUGACCAAGAUGCCUUGCAAGUUACUUUUGGGAAAUGGAUGAAAGAGGGAAGGCAGUUUGUUAGCUCCCAGAGAAAUGGCGCAGGUGUGAAGCAGAGCCCACGGCCCUGGGUUCACUCCCAGUGAAGGACACUUGUGACUCCUUGAUACUUCCACAGGGCAGAGGCUCUUCUGGCUGUGCCCAGCUUCUGGCCCGUUGAACCAAUUUUAUGAGCAGUUCAACCCACCUCAGCCCU
This 945-nucleotide long non-coding RNA is filed under the name Rattus norvegicus (Norway rat). RNAcentral describes it as "long non-coding RNA NONRATT014136". Lineage: Eukaryota; Metazoa; Chordata; Mammalia; Rodentia; Muridae. The record is from RNAcentral.